GCAAACUUGGUCAUUUAGAGGAAGUAAAAGUCGUAACAAGGUUUCCGUAGGUGAACCUGCGGAAGGAUCAUUAAUGGAACAUGCGAGGACGCUCUGUUUAGAGGUCCAGCCUAUUCAAAUUUAACCCUGUGCACGCACUGCCCUUACAAAAAAAAAUAACAACACUUGUUUCAAAGAAUGUGAAAUUAAUAAUAAUAAUAAUAAAACUUUCGGCAACGGAUCUCUUGGCUCCCGCAUCGAUGAAGAACGCAGC
This 253-nucleotide unclassified non-coding RNA is filed under the name uncultured fungus. RNAcentral describes it as "partial contains small subunit ribosomal RNA, internal transcribed spacer 1, and 5.8S ribosomal RNA". The stretch from base 1 to 73 matches the Rfam family "Eukaryotic small subunit ribosomal RNA", at positions 1759 to 1831 of the family's 1831-position model. The record is from RNAcentral. Lineage: Eukaryota; Fungi.